Molecule: ribosomal RNA, 490 nt
Filed under: uncultured bacterium
Lineage: Bacteria
Description: partial 16S ribosomal RNA
Rfam family: Bacterial small subunit ribosomal RNA
Source: RNAcentral
AUUGAACGCUGUCGGCAUGCUUUACACAUGCAAGUCGGACGGCAGCACAGAGAAGCUUGCUUCUUGGGUGGCGAGUGGCGAACGGGUGAGUAACAUAUCGGAACGUACCGAGCAGUGGGGGAUAACUAAUCGAAAGAUUAGCUAAUACCGCAUAUCUUCUGAGGAAGAAAGCAGGGGACCAUUUGGCCUUGCGCUGUUUGAGCGGCCGAUAUCUGAUUAGCUAGUUGGUGGGGUAAAGGCCUACCAAGGCGACGAUCAGUAGCGGGUCUGAGAGGAUGAUCCGCCACACUGGGACUGAGACACGGCCCAGACUCCUACGGGAGGCAGCAGUGGGGAAUUUUGGACAAUGGGCGCAAGCCUGAUCCAGCCAUGCCGCGUGUCUGAAGAAGGCCUUCGGGUUGUAAAGGACUUUUGUCAGGGAAGAAAAGGGCGGGGUUAAUACCCCUGUCUGAUGACGGUACCUGAAGAAUAAGCACCGGCUAACUACGUG